UAUGAUUGGCAUAUUUUAAAUGAUGUGGAAGUUUAGCAGGAGAGAGAAGAAGCCAUGUGCAUCUCACGUAAGAAGAAGCCAACUUUAAAUCCCUAAAUUGAUUUCCCAAUUCCCAAAUUGAAAGCUUCAAAUCCUAGCUGUAGGGGGAUGCAAACGAACUCAUGGUGGCCAUGAUGAAGAGAUGAAUUCGCAUGGAAGAACCGAUGAGAGGCGUCGUAGAAGGCAAGAGGAGAACGAAGGUAGCGAGAUUUCUUCUACUUCUACUGGUAAUGGAAGGAGGAGAUGAAGUUUGAAAUUUUGUGACUGUUGUGUUGAAACUCAUCUCUCGACAUAAAAAACUGGUGUGAACCCUGGAAGGAGGUUCUAUGGUUGCGGAGCAUGGAAGGAAAGUAUGUGACUUCUUUGAAUGGUAUGAUGAGAUUGGGGGUGAAAGCCAAAAGCUACUGAUCGUCGCGUUGAGAAGGAGCAUUGAAGCUAUAAAAAAAAUAAUUCAGAUCCUAGCUUGUUGUUUGUUCAUUGUCAUGAUGUUUGGGGGAAAGUAAUGAUGUUUGUACUUAAAAAAAUGUUUGUACUUGGUUGUGUAUGAUGAAAAUGUUAUGAUGUUAUGCAAUAAAUGAAAAUGUUGUAGUUGAAAGUAA
Lotus japonicus is the source of this 638-nucleotide long non-coding RNA. RefSeq lists it as uncharacterized. The transcript is spliced from 2 exons. The record is from RefSeq and is a predicted model, not a curated record. Lineage: Eukaryota; Viridiplantae; Streptophyta; Magnoliopsida; Fabales; Fabaceae.